UACAGAGGGUGCAAGCGUUAAUCGGAUUUACUGGGCGUAAAGCGUGCGUAGGCGGUUCGCUAAGUCGGUUGUGAAAUCCCUGGGCUUAACCUGGGAACUGCAGUCGAUACUGGCGGACUAGAAUGCGGUAGAGGGUGGCGGAACUCCGGGUGUAGCGGUGAAAUGCGUAGAUAUAGGAAGGAACACCAGUGGCGAAGGCGACUACCUGGACUGAUACUGACACUGAGGUGCGAAAGCGUGGGGAGCAAACAGG
This 253-nucleotide ribosomal RNA is filed under the name uncultured bacterium. RNAcentral describes it as "partial 16S ribosomal RNA". It matches the Rfam family "Bacterial small subunit ribosomal RNA", at positions 524 to 776 of the family's 1533-position model. The record is from RNAcentral.